UUUAUGGAGAGUUUGAUCCUGGCUCAGGAUAAACGCUGGCGGCGUGCCUAAUACAUGCAAGUCGAGCGAACGGACGAGAAGCUUGCUUCUCUGAUGUUAGCGGCGGACGGGUGAGUAACACGUGGAUAACCUACCUAUAAGACUGGGAUAACUUCGGGAAACCGGAGCUAAUACCGGAUAAUAUUUUGAACCGCAUGGUUCAAAAGUGAAAGACGGUCU
Molecule: ribosomal RNA, 219 nt
Filed under: Staphylococcus aureus
Lineage: Bacteria; Bacillati; Bacillota; Bacilli; Caryophanales; Staphylococcaceae
Description: partial 16S ribosomal RNA
Rfam family: Bacterial small subunit ribosomal RNA
Source: RNAcentral